GGCACCAGGAGGUGCCGCCUUCCUCAUUCUUAACAGAAGUCUUAGUGAGCCCUGGAGUCUUGGAUGAAGAAACUGAGGUGGAGAGAGGUGGAAGGCCCGCCUGAGGUCCUGCACAAAGUCAGUGGCUGAGCCAUGUUUCUUUCCCACCUGUUUCAGGUUCUGGAAUUUCACCGUGAGGGUUUUUUUCCUUUGUGUGUGUUUUGCAGGAUUUGUCAUUGCUGCUGCUGUUACUGCAGUUGCUGUUGCCAGGACCAAACACCUCUGGCACAGCCUCAUUAGUCACUACCUAAGCUGCCCUGACAAGUGGAUAAAAGGAAAGAAGACCUCUUUUAGGCAUGGAGGGAAAGUGAGACUUUGGAGCUUUUGCCUAUUCCAGAGAAAAUCAAUGAACUCUGUGGAACAUGGUGGAGAUA
Molecule: long non-coding RNA, 413 nt
Filed under: Monodelphis domestica (gray short-tailed opossum)
Lineage: Eukaryota; Metazoa; Chordata; Mammalia; Didelphimorphia; Didelphidae
Description: lncRNA (ENSMODG00000033530.2)
Source: RNAcentral